This 465-nucleotide ribosomal RNA is filed under the name uncultured bacterium. Its description in RNAcentral is "SSU rRNA". It matches the Rfam family "Bacterial small subunit ribosomal RNA", at positions 26 to 518 of the family's 1533-position model. The record is from RNAcentral.
AGGAUUAACGCUGGCGGCGUGCCUAACACAUGCAAGUCGAACGAGGUAGCAAUACCUAGUGGCAGACGGGUGAGUAACGCGUGGUCAACCUACCGUUGAGUGGGGGAUAACUAGCCGAAAGGUUAGCUAAUACCGCAUACGAGUCUCGGGGGCAUCCCUGGGCCUUAAAAGGAGCAAUCCGCUCGAUGACGGGACCGCGUCCCAUUAGCUAGAUGGUGGGGUAAUGGCCUACCAUGGCUCCGAUGGGUAGCUGGUUUGAGAGAGCGACCAGCCACACUGGGACUGAGAAACGGCCCAGACUCCUACGGGGGGCAGCAGUGAGGAAUUUUCGGCAAUGGGGGAAACCCUGACCGAGCAACGCCGCGUGCAGGAGACGGCCUUCGGGUUGUAAACUGCUUUUCUUUGGGUACGAGCAAGGACGGUACCAGAGGAAUCAGCCCCGGCUCACUACGUGCCAGCAGCCGC